This 253-nucleotide ribosomal RNA is filed under the name uncultured bacterium. RNAcentral's name for it is "partial small subunit ribosomal RNA". It matches the Rfam family "Bacterial small subunit ribosomal RNA", at positions 26 to 285 of the family's 1533-position model. The record is from RNAcentral.
AGGACAAACGCUGGCGGCGUGCUUAACACAUGCAAGUCGAGCGGAAAGGCCCUUCGGGUACUCGAGCGGCGAACGGGUGAGUAACACGUGAGCAACCUGCCCUUAGCUCCGGGAUAGCUCCGGGAAACCGGAAUUAAUACCGGAUACGACCACGGCCGACAUCUGCUGUGGUGGAAAGGAUUCCGGCUAAGGAUGGGCUCGCGGCCUAUCAGCUAGUUGGUGGAGUAACGGCCCACCAAGGCGACGACGGGUA